RNAcentral lists this ribosomal RNA (493 nucleotides) under uncultured bacterium. RNAcentral's name for it is "partial 16S ribosomal RNA". It matches the Rfam family "Bacterial small subunit ribosomal RNA", at positions 29 to 507 of the family's 1533-position model. The record is from RNAcentral.
ACGAACGCUGGCGGCGUGCUUAACACAUGCAAGUCGAACGGAAAGGCCUGCUUUCCCUUGUGGAUUGCGGGUACUCGAGUGGCGAACGGGUGAGUAACACGUGAGUGAUCUGCCCCCAACUUGGGUAUAAGCCUGGGAAACUGGGUCUAAUUCCCGAUAGGACUGCAGGGUGGUGCCUGUGGUGGAAAACGAUUUUCUAGUGGUUGGGGAUGAGCUCGCGGCCUAUCAGCUUGUUGGUGGGGUAAUGGCCUACCAAGGCGGCGACGGGUAGCCGGCCUGAGAGGGUGGACGGCCACAUUGGGACUGAGAUACGGCCCAGACUCCUACGGGAGGCAGCAGUGGGGAAUAUUGCACAAUGGGCGGAAGCCUGAUGCAGCGACGCCGCGUGGGGGAUGACGGCCUUCGGGUUGUAAACUCCUUUCGACCGCGAGGAAGCCACCUGGUUGGAAGGGUGGUGACGGUAGUGGUAGAAGAAGCACCGGCCAACUACGUG